Molecule: ribosomal RNA, 585 nt
Filed under: Salmonella enterica
Lineage: Bacteria; Pseudomonadati; Pseudomonadota; Gammaproteobacteria; Enterobacterales; Enterobacteriaceae
Description: partial 23S ribosomal RNA
Source: RNAcentral
GUUAUCACGGGAGACACACGGCGGGUGCUAACGUCCGUCGUGAAGAGGGAAACAACCCAGACCGCCAGCUAAGGUCCCAAAGUCAUGGUUAAGUGGGAAACGAUGUGGGAAGGCCCAGACAGCCAGGAUGUUGGCUUAGAAGCAGCCAUCAUUUAAAGAAAGCGUAAUAGCUCACUGGUCGAGUCGGCCUGCGCGGAAGAUGUAACGGGGCUAAACCAUGCACCGAAGCUGCGGCAGCGAACGUAUCACCCAAGACAACUUUACGGAGUUGACGAUUGACGGAGCGAAGCGACGUCAAAGCGUUCAUUAAAGUCGAGUYGGYUUARGGAUACGUUCGUUGGGUAGGGGAGCGUUCUGUAAGCCUGCGAAGGUGGCCUGUGAGGGUUGCUGGAGGUAUCAGAAGUGCGAAUGCUGACAUAAGUAACGAUAAAGCGGGUGAAAAGCCCGCUCGCCGGAAGACCAAGGGUUCCUGUCCAACGUUAAUCGGGGCAGGGUGAGUCGACCCCUAAGGCGAGGCCGAAAGGCGUAGUCGAUGGGAAACGGGUUAAUAUUCCCGUACUUGGUGUUACUGCGAAGGGGGGACGG